UGCGAUAUUGAAAGGUGCGAUAUUGAAAGGUGUGAUAUUGAAAUUACAAUAUUGAAAGGUGCAUAAUUGAAAUUUGUACUUGGGCACAUGAGAUUCGAAUGCCAAGCGGCUCCUUAAAAAUAAGUGCGCCCGACACGUUUUCAAAGCCAAAAAUCUCAACUUGGGAGAGGUUGAUCAACCCAAAUGUCCUAGAUUUUACAUAUUAAACUUGAACUUGAAACACUAGUAAAAAAAUUGACAUGUGCUUCUCUUCAAGUGCGGCUCAUUAGUAAAUUGGCAGCACUUGAGAGCAAAAAAAAAAAAAAUACAAAAAAACAAUUUCACAAGUGCGGGCUCAUUUUAGAAAAUUGGCAGCACUUGAGUUCAAGUGCGGGCUUAUUUCACAAAUGACCCGCACAAAAUAUUUCUAAAAAUAUUUCCCAAUUUUAUUUCAUUUCGCGCUUCCCCACUUCCUCUUCUCUGGUUACUGCUUUUCCCUUUUCUCUCCUCCUUCCCUCUUCUCUUGUUUCUCUGCUCCUCCCCCUCUCUGGUUCUCUGGGCGCGAAACUCAACAACAUCAAUCAGCAUACACCGACACGACCAGUCGCGUCGCCAACGAUGUUCCCCAACCGGCGACUUCUUCCUCUUCUGGCCGCGGCCGCAGCACACAGGCGUCGCUCAUCCUUAUCUCUUUUAGGUUUUUCGAUUGCGUGCUCGAUUUUGCUUCUACCUACUUCCGGAUUGAUUUAAUUCAGGUAUUCAACAAUCCAAGGGAGCAGCCUUUUACCAUUGAGUAGAUAAAUGAAGUUCGAGAAAAGUUGGCAAAUUUCAUUACCAUUUAUUGUCUUUGAUAUUUUGUUGUAAUGAAUCUUAGAUUAUGGAUGCUAGUUUUUCAUAGGAUUGUAAUGUAAUCAAUUUUUAUAUUUACAAUUAUAUACUAU
Spinacia oleracea (spinach) is the source of this 920-nucleotide long non-coding RNA. RefSeq lists it as uncharacterized. The transcript is spliced from 3 exons. The record is from RefSeq and is a predicted model, not a curated record. Lineage: Eukaryota; Viridiplantae; Streptophyta; Magnoliopsida; Caryophyllales; Amaranthaceae.